GUUUCUCUGAAAGAAAAUAAUGUUUAUUCAGGAAUAGGGUAUUGCUGUAGGCAUAUAUGUGCCAUAGGAAACGAUGUGCAUAUUCAGGAAGGUAAAGGCAGACAAAGGGUUUUAAAGGAAAAUUGGGGAAGAUUACGUAAUUGUUUUGAAAUGAUUAUCCUUGGCUAUAGCGAUCAGUAACAAGAGUCCAAGGUUGGACUGGACAGGUGUCCCUGCAGAAGUAUUAAUAUUUCCUGCAUAAGGUCGCAAUGGCCUUUAUGCAAGGUUGUGGCUUUUGUAGUUCUUUGUGAUUGUUUUGCUAUCAGGCAUACAAGUGUGAGAGUUCUCUGUUCAUAGCUUUCCUUGGCUCUAUUUGUCAGCAUUUUUUAAACAUGACUACAUUUUGAUUCUGACCACUAUUACACUAAUUUUAUAUUAGAAUGAACAAUAGAAGUUUCAAGGUGAUUAUAAGAAUAAAGAGAAUAAAGAGCAGAGUAACAUCAGCAUUGAUAGUGAAUGUACCCUAGAAAGACAUGCUCAUAGGAUACAGUUGACCCUUGAGCAACAUGGAUUUGAAAUGUACGAGUCCACUUAAAGAAACUUACAGUCAGUUUCUUUAAAAAAAAAAAAAAAAUAGAGACAGGGUCUCACUGUAUUCCCCAAGCUGGACUUGAACUCCUGGGCUCAAGCAAUCUUCCCACCUUAGCCUCCUAAGUAGGUGGGACUACUACCUACUUGGAGGACCAUUUUUUGGAGAAGCUGCCACUGCAGCUAUACCAUCAGGUGUGAAAACCUU
RNAcentral lists this long non-coding RNA (775 nucleotides) under Homo sapiens (human). RNAcentral describes it as "HSALNT0111315". The record is from RNAcentral. Lineage: Eukaryota; Metazoa; Chordata; Mammalia; Primates; Hominidae.